This 253-nucleotide ribosomal RNA is filed under the name uncultured bacterium. RNAcentral describes it as "partial 16S ribosomal RNA". It matches the Rfam family "Bacterial small subunit ribosomal RNA", at positions 524 to 776 of the family's 1533-position model. The record is from RNAcentral.
UACGUAGGGGGCAAGCGUUGUCCGGAUUUAUUGGGCGUAAAGAGCGUGUAGGCGGCCGUACAGGUCAGCUGUGAAAACUCGAGGCUCAACCUCGAGACGCCGAUGGAAACCAUCAGACUAGAGUCCGGAAGAGGAGAGUGGAAUUCCUGGUGUAGCGGUGAAAUGCGCAGAUAUCAGGAAGAACACCCGUGGCUAAGGCGGCUCUCUAGUACGGUACUGACGCUGAGACGCGAAAGCGUGGGGAGCGAACAGG